UACGUAGGGUGCAGGCGUUACUCGGAAUUACUGGGCGUAAAGGGCGCGUAGGCGGCCAUCUAAGUCAGACGUGAAAUCCCCCGGCUUAACUGGGGAACUGCGUCUGAUACUGGAUGGCUUGGAUCCGGGAGAGGGAUGCGGAAUUCCAGGUGUAGCGGUGAAAUGCGUAGAUAUCUGGAGGAACACCGGUGGCGAAGGCGGCUUUCUGGACAGGUACUGACGCUGAGACGCGAAAGCGUGGGGAGCAAACAGG
This 253-nucleotide ribosomal RNA is filed under the name uncultured bacterium. Its description in RNAcentral is "partial 16S ribosomal RNA". It matches the Rfam family "Bacterial small subunit ribosomal RNA", at positions 524 to 776 of the family's 1533-position model. The record is from RNAcentral.